UACUGACCAGUACCUCCUCGUACAACAGAUCAUCCUAGAGUAAAAAGGGCUCGCGGGCCAAGAUGUGAGAGGGGUCCGGGUUGUACUUGCAUAGCAUGAACAUAUAAAACACAUUACGAACCUUGGAUUGUUCUGGAGGCAAUGCCAGUCUGUAGGCGGUGGUGCCAAUUCUGUCAAAGAUUUUAAAUGACCCAAUAAAUCAGGGAUUUAGCUUCCCCCUCUUGCU
This 226-nucleotide long non-coding RNA is filed under the name Carica papaya (papaya). RNAcentral's name for it is "long non-coding RNA (CPAP_LNC009915)". The record is from RNAcentral. Lineage: Eukaryota; Viridiplantae; Streptophyta; Magnoliopsida; Brassicales; Caricaceae.